CGGGAUAUAGCACAGCCAGGUAGUGUACUUGUCUGGGGGGCAAGGGGUCGUGGGUUCAAAUCCCGCUAUCCCGA
Molecule: transfer RNA, 74 nt
Filed under: Runella slithyformis DSM 19594
Lineage: Bacteria; Pseudomonadati; Bacteroidota; Cytophagia; Cytophagales; Spirosomataceae
Also listed under: 4 other names
Description: tRNA-Pro (GGG) (tRNA-Pro-GGG-1-1)
Rfam family: tRNA
About the family: Transfer RNA (tRNA) molecules are approximately 80 nucleotides in length. Their secondary structure includes four short double-helical elements and three loops (D, anti-codon, and T loops).
Source: Rfam by way of RNAcentral